Molecule: transfer RNA, 60 nt
Filed under: Amphimerus sp. JM-2019
Lineage: Eukaryota; Metazoa; Platyhelminthes; Trematoda; Opisthorchiida; Opisthorchiidae
Description: tRNA-Ser
Source: RNAcentral
GAGGGUUUUGAUCUAUUGCUGCUAACGAUGGUUUGAAUGUUUUGUUGCGUUCAACCCUCU